This 932-nucleotide long non-coding RNA is filed under the name Oryctolagus cuniculus (rabbit). RNAcentral describes it as "lncRNA (ENSOCUG00000039672.1)". The record is from RNAcentral. Lineage: Eukaryota; Metazoa; Chordata; Mammalia; Lagomorpha; Leporidae.
GUUGACGGAGACCCUAGUGGUAGCGCGACCUCUGUGGGAGCUGGCAGCCUCUCCCAGAGGGCAGAGUUUCGCGCUGUGCUUACACAAUUGGUUGUAAAUUCUGCUGAGCUCUAUGGGUCCAUCUGGAUGAAAAGGUCUGUGUAAACGCAAGAUCAUUAUCAUUAUCAGCUGUCCCAGUUGGAGCCCAGUGAUUCGCAAGCCCACAAUCAAUGGGGUCUUCCCAACAAUUCCAUUCUACAUGGCUGGAGAAAAGGUGCAAUUACAUGGAGCUGCACAUCCUCUGGAGAGAGCGCCCUUUGUGUCUGUUCCCAGAGUGAUGGAGACAGGAAUCUCCCAGGCCCCUCAUCAGCCACAUGGAGAGAGGUGCCCGCCAGGCUCUGCCCAGGCCAGGGACAAGAAUCGGGGCAGAUCUGGAACUUUGUAGACAUGAGGGGACAGCAUGCUGCACCUCUGCAGCUCAGGUGCUCUCAGGAGGCACUGUGGAGGCCGCAAGGAUCCUCUUCCAUCUUUUUCCUUUCUGAUUUUGUCUAGGAUCAAGAACAACCUGGAUCCGGGAGAUCUUUUCUCUCUGAAGUUGACUGCCCACUGCACACAGAAACUAAGGGAGGCUCCCCACCUGGGCAGCUCUGAGCUGGAGACCAUGAAGCCCCACUUCAUUCUUUCCGCACGAAUCUCUGGCACUUGUGCUGGUGACCUUGGGAGAAGACUGUAUAUGAGUUAACUCUCUGAUCUCAAGGAAAAGAUGAGACAUACGGGCACAGAUAUCAGCACCAAGCUCAUCUCAUUUCGGUCAAUUUCCAAGUUGACCUACAGACCUGUGAGAACUAAAAACAAAAUUGUGAUUUAUUAUGUAGCAAUAGUUAACUGAUACACAGGACUUAAGUUGAUCACAGUUACUCACCUACUAAGUUGUACAGUCAUAUUUAAAAAAU